GACGGUCAUCGGGCCCUGGAGGGCUCCCUCGGCUGCAAACCGAGUGUCUGAAGACCCGGUCUUCAGAGUUGGGUUCGAUUCCCAAGGACCGUCUCCA
RNAcentral lists this transfer RNA (97 nucleotides) under Sulfobacillus harzensis. RNAcentral's name for it is "Sulfobacillus sp. DSM 109850 tRNA-OTHER". It matches the Rfam family "Selenocysteine transfer RNA". The record is from RNAcentral. Lineage: Bacteria; Bacillati; Bacillota; Clostridia; Eubacteriales; Clostridiales Family XVII. Incertae Sedis.